Molecule: ribosomal RNA, 406 nt
Filed under: uncultured bacterium
Lineage: Bacteria
Description: partial 16S ribosomal RNA
Rfam family: Bacterial small subunit ribosomal RNA
Source: RNAcentral
AUUGAACGCUGGCGGCAGGCCUAACACAUGCAAGUCGAGCGAGCGGCGGACGGGUGAGUAAUGUCUGGGAAACUGCCUGAUGGAGGGGGAUAACUACUGGAAACGGUAGCUAAUACCGCAUACCAUCGGAUGUGCCCAGAUGGGAUUAGCUAGUAGGUGGGGUAAUGGCUCACCUAGGCGACGAUCCCUAGCUGGUCUGAGAGGAUGAGCAGCCAAACUGGAACGGAGACACGGCCCAGACUCCGACGGGAGGCAGCAGUGGGGAAUAUUGCACAAUGGGCGCAAGCCUGAUGCAGCCAUGCCGCGUGGGUGAAGAAGGCCUUCGGGUUGUAAAGCACUUUCAGCGAGGAGGCGUUACUCGCAGAAGAAGCACCGGCUAACUCCGUGCCAGCAGCCGCGGUAAUAC